RNAcentral lists this ribosomal RNA (951 nucleotides) under uncultured bacterium. Its description in RNAcentral is "bacterial SSU rRNA". It matches the Rfam family "Bacterial small subunit ribosomal RNA", at positions 553 to 1502 of the family's 1533-position model. The record is from RNAcentral.
ACUGGGCGUAAAGGGCUCGUAGGCGGCCAACUAAGUCCGACGUGAAAUCCCCAGGCUCAACCUGGGAACUGCGUCCGAUACUGGAUGGCUUGAAUCCGGGAGAGGGAUGCAGAAUUCCAGGUGUAGCGGUGAAAUGCGUAGAUAUCUGGAGGAAUACCGGUGGCGAAGGCGGCAUCCUGGACCGGCAUUGACGCUGAGGAGCGAAAGCCAGGGGAGCAAACGGGAUUAGAUACCCCGGUAGUCCUGGCCCUAAACGAUGAAUGCUUGGUGUGACGGGUAUCGAUCCCUGUCGUGCCGAAGCUAACGCAUUAAGCAUUCCGCCUGGGGAGUACGGUCGUAAGGCUGAAACUCAAAGGAAUUGACGGGGGCCCGCACAAGCGGUGGAGCAUGUGGUUCAAUUCGACGCAACGCGAAGAACCUUACCCAGGCUCGAACGGCAAUUGACAUCCGGCGAAAGCCGGCUCCCGCAAGGGCAGUUGUCGAGGUGCUGCAUGGCUGUCGUCAGCUCGUGUCGUGAGAUGUUGGGUUAAGUCCCGCAACGAGCGCAACCCUUGUCCGCUGUUGCCAUCAGGUUAUGCUGGGCACUCUGCGGAGACUGCCGGUGAUAAACCGGAGGAAGGUGGGGAUGACGUCAAGUCAGCAUGGCCUUUAUGUCUGGGGCUACACACGUGCUACAAUGGCCGGUACAAACCGUCGCGAUCUCGCAAGAGGGAGCUAAUCGGAGAAAGCCGGUCUCAGUUCGGAUUGCAGGCUGCAACUCGCCUGCAUGAAGUUGGAAUCGCUAGUAAUCGCGGAUCAGCACGCCGCGGUGAAUACGUUCCCGGGCCUUGUACACACCGCCCGUCACAUCACGAAAGCCGGCUGUACUAGAAGUCGCUGAGCCAACCCGCAAGGGAGGCAGGCGCCUAAGGUAUGGUCGGUGAUUGGGGUGAAGUCGUAACAAGGUAACCA